GUGGUAAGUCAAGAUGGAGCCUUCUCUGUGGUUGCUCUAAAUGUCUAGGAUCUCUUACCAAGAUUGGUCCAGCUAGCCCCAUCUCUGAUGACUUUCUGCCAGCAGCUAAAAACCUCCUUAUUAAGGCAGGACUUUAAACCAUAAACUGAUUUAAGCCAUAACUCUGCCACAUCUCCUGAAGCAACCUUGAAUCCAUGCAGACAUUCUGAGCCAGGAGAGCCCUUAUCAGAGGGUGGACAUGAGACCCUGGCCUUAUACCGAGUCCUGGGUCAGCCUCCAUCUGGGAGACUGCAACAAGGCCAGGGAAAGGGCCAUCUGCACCCAAGGUGAGUUCCGCCUCUAACUUUGGGGCUGAAUUGGGUCCCAAACCCAAGGCAAAUGCAGAACUACUGUAAAGACUAGAUGGAAACCUGGCCCACCUGGAGAUUGCA
This is a long non-coding RNA of Podarcis raffonei (Aeolian wall lizard), 431 nucleotides long. RefSeq lists it as uncharacterized. The record is from RefSeq and is a predicted model, not a curated record. The transcript is spliced from 3 exons. Lineage: Eukaryota; Metazoa; Chordata; Lepidosauria; Squamata; Lacertidae.